AGAUUCAAAGUAGAUAUACCCAUAUACCGGCCAAUGAACAUCCCAUACAUAGUCUACUAUCCCAGUUGCCUAUCAUCCUUUAAAUAAAAAGAACAACAUUUUAUCAUCUAAUAUGUGUAUAUAUACUAUUAUAUAUACAUAUAUGUGCAUGUAUAUAUGUAUACAUGUACAUAUAUACACUAGAGAACAAUGAAAUAGUGAUGGGAAAUGAUAGUGGCCAAAUGUAAGCUUAUUCUUCACAGUUAGAAAUGAGUCUUGAACAUUUCUUUCUGUACUAAAAAAUAAGUAGUCAGUAGUUCCCAUUCACGUGAAUAAGGUAUGAUUAGGCCUGGUAUGGUCUGCACCAGAACAAACACUGGAUUUUUUUUACUCCAUAAUCUUAAGAUCUGAUGCAUGGCUUUCCUGGAAUUGAGCUAAGAAUACACGUUCCUAGGGUUCAUUUCAUAUUAUAUUUUUAAAAAACUGAAAUGACAGCUUUAUGAGAUAUCAGAUAUCCCCAAUAUCUUAUUCUGGUCAGAGGAUGUGUAUGGACCAGAGUGUUACUAAGAACCAUGAAGUAUUAAGAUGGGUAAUAUUGAAUUUUGGGACCUGGAUGCCCUAAGAUAUGCUACAAAAGACUACUAUUUAAAAUAAAUCUAAUUGCAAUGAAAAUUUUAUAGAAUUAUGACCAUAAGCACAGUAGAAUUCUAGUAGGAAAAUCUUGUGUCUUCCUUGGAUUUAUCUGUGAUUGAUUUGUUCAGAGUUGAGUUUUGUGUUCGGUUCUUCUCAUAUAUACUGGUGUUCCAAAUUCUCCAUUUCUUUCAGGCUGUUGAAAUUUAAAGCAAUCUGUUCAUAAUCUUAUAAGAUUCUGCGAAUCUUCUAAGAUUCAGAGACAGUCUGUCCUCGGGUCUCUGUUAGUACGUUAAUAAGAGGCAGAAGGGACAAUUAGUAAGCCCAGAUGCAAGUUUAAGGAUCAGAAUUCGCAUAGGAACUGUUAUGAUUUCUAGAUGUCCCCAGAAAUUAAUGUGCACAGUUACUGGCUCACACAACCCUCUGGAGUUUGAACUAAAAUCGGGCUCACGAAAUCUGUUUGUAAAAAUAUGUUUUCCCUUGACUGAUCUUCUGUCACUCAGACACCCACCUAGCCAUCAGUGCAAUCUAAAGGCUCAAGUGCCUCACAUAAUUUCACACUGUAGAGAGGUGAGGGCACCUGCAAGGACAGCACUGGACGCUCACUGGGAUGAUUGACAUGUUUGGGGCAAAAGAGAAUUUCACAUACAACCAGCUCCACUUUGACUCAGCAUUAGAGUCCAGCAGUUUAUGAGUAGUGGAGAGGGCCUCCAGUACAUCUGUGUGCAACUGUACAUGUGCACACACCCAUGUAUAUAUAUUUAUCUAUCUGUACAAACACUACAUAUGUAUACACACUAUCUAUGUAAUAUAUAAUAUAUGUAUAAUGCAUAUAAAUUCUAACAAGUGUAUUUGUGUUAUCUUUAAAAUAGAACAAUUGUAUCUUGAAGUGAUAAAUACAGAGAAUUGGCUUUAUUGUUGAUCUGUGGAUUUAAUGAUUUUUUUUAGGUGAAAGGAUGUUUUAAGUGUAUAAUUUCUUUUCUUAAUUUAAUAUAUUUAUGUAAAUGCAUGCCUGAGAUUUGAUUAGAUUGGCUGUGUUUUGUGUCUUAACAUGAUCAAAUGUAUUAAACUUUAUCUUAUGACUUCACGUUUGUUGUGCCCUUUCAAACAUUUGUUUUUCUUUUAAAAUUUUAAAAAGUUUCUCCUACAUCUUCAGACUGGCUACACAAACAGUAGUUCUGAAAUACUCUAUUUUCAAGCUACUUCUAAAUGUUAUUGUCUUUCGCCAUUAUUCACAGCUAAUUUUGAGAUUUUCUGCUUAAACAUAAGCUCACUUCAGGGUCAGUUUUGUGGUGUAGAUACAAAGACGCCUUGUUGGUUUCCAUUUGCUCUACAUUGUGACUUGAGCUUGAUCCUUUUGGCUAAAAACUGUCAAGUUAAAGAUGUAAAGAAUGCAACCACUUGUGAUACUGGGUACAAUUGUGAAGAAAGAAGCAGGCAGGGGCAUGGAACGAGGGGAAGGUGGUUACCCCACAACUUUGUGACUCUGUUGUUUGAAUUUCACUUUAAUUUAAGCAAAAAUACCUGUCAAACGUCUGAUCAGUAGAGCUAGAGUGGAGGUUCAGUGGCUAAGAGCCCUUACAACUCUUUCAGAGGAUACAAGGUUGGUCACCUUGUAUCCUUGGCAGGUUCCACUACCCUCUGGCCUCCACUGGCACCAGGCACACGUGUGGUGCGUGUAUACACACACCCAGCAGAUAAUCGCACAGGUUUUAAAAGCCUGACCAGCGGAUAAGAACAUAUAUUAGAAGAGCCAUCGAUCUGCUUCCACAGUAACCCUCUUAUGUCUUCAAUAAACGUGCCUCACUGGCUUCCGG
This 2426-nucleotide long non-coding RNA is filed under the name Rattus norvegicus (Norway rat). RNAcentral describes it as "long non-coding RNA NONRATT014171". The record is from RNAcentral. Lineage: Eukaryota; Metazoa; Chordata; Mammalia; Rodentia; Muridae.